UAACAUAUGCUUGUCUCAAAGAUUAAGCCAUGCAUGUCUAAGUAUAAGCAAUCUAUACAGUGAAACUGCGAAGGGCUCAUUAAAUCAGUUAUCGUUUAUUUGAUAGUACCUUACUACUUGGAUAACCGGGGUAAUUCUAGAGCUAAUACAUGCUAAAAACCCCGACUUCGGAAGGGGUGUAUUUAUUAAAUAAAAAACCAAGGCCCUUCGGGGCUCCUUGGUGAUUCAUAAUAACUUAACGAAUCGCAGGGCCUUGUGCCGGCGAUGGUUCAUUCAAAUUUCUGCCCUAUCAACUUUCGAUUGUAAGGUAGUGGCUUACAAUGGUUUCAACGGGUAACGGGGAAUUAGGGUUCUAUUCCGGAGAGGGAGCCUGAAAAACGGCUACCACAUCCAAGGAAGGCAGCAGGCGCGCAAAUUACCCAAUCCCGACACGGGGAGGUAGUGACAAUAAAUACUGAUACAGGGCUCUUUUGGGUCUUGUAAUUGGAAUGAGUACAAUUUAAAUCCCUUAACGAGGAACAAUU
Molecule: ribosomal RNA, 524 nt
Filed under: uncultured eukaryote
Lineage: Eukaryota
Description: SSU rRNA
Rfam family: Eukaryotic small subunit ribosomal RNA
Source: RNAcentral